RNAcentral lists this ribosomal RNA (253 nucleotides) under uncultured bacterium. RNAcentral's name for it is "partial 16S ribosomal RNA". It matches the Rfam family "Bacterial small subunit ribosomal RNA", at positions 524 to 776 of the family's 1533-position model. The record is from RNAcentral.
UACAGAGGGUGCGAGCGUUAAUCGGAAUUACUGGGCGUAAAGCGCACGUAGGUGGCGACGUAAGUCGGGUGUGAAAGCCCCGGGCUCAACCUGGGAAUUGCAUUCGAGACUGCAUUGCUGGAGUACGGAAGAGGAGGGCGGAAUUCCCGGCGUAGCGGUGAAAUGCGUAGAUACCGGGAGGAACAUCAGUGGCGAAGGCGGCCCUCUGGUCCAGUACUGACACUCAAGUGCGAAAGCGUGGGGAGCAAGCAGG